CUCCUACGGGUGGCAGCAGUGGGGAAUAUUGGACAAUGGGGGCAACCCUGAUCCAGCGACGCCGCGUGGGUGAAGAAGGCCUGCGGGUUGUAAAGCCCUUUCGGUUGGGAAGAAAAGUUCUGAUUUAAUAAAUCGGGACCCUGACGUAACCAACUAAAGAAGCACCGGCUAACUCUGUGCCAGCAGCCGCGGUAAUACAGAGGGUGCGAGCGUUAAUCGGAAUUACUGGGCGUAAAGCGCGCGUAGGCGGCUUUUCAAGUCGAUUGUGAAAUCCCCGGGCUUAACCUGGGAACUGCAGUCGAGACUGUCUAGCUAGAGUAUGGGAGAGGGAAGUGGAAUUUCAGGUGUAGCGGUGAAAUGCGUAGAUAUCUGAAGGAACAUCAGUGGCGAAAGCGACUUCCUGGACCAAUACUGACGCUCAUGUGCGAAAGCGUGGGGAGCAAACAGGAUUAGAUACCCUGGUAGUCCACGCCAUAAACGAUGAGAACUGGAUGUCGGAGGGGUCUGCCCUUCGGUGUCGUAGCUAACGCGUUAA
This 535-nucleotide ribosomal RNA is filed under the name uncultured bacterium. RNAcentral's name for it is "bacterial SSU rRNA". It matches the Rfam family "Bacterial small subunit ribosomal RNA", at positions 336 to 863 of the family's 1533-position model. The record is from RNAcentral.